RNAcentral lists this long non-coding RNA (606 nucleotides) under Piliocolobus tephrosceles (Ugandan red Colobus). Its description in RNAcentral is "lncRNA (ENSPTEG00000007709.1)". The record is from RNAcentral. Lineage: Eukaryota; Metazoa; Chordata; Mammalia; Primates; Cercopithecidae.
AUGAAAUCAUAUUAUUUUUUUUUAUUUUUUUUAUUAUUUUUUUUUUUUUUUUUCGUAAACUCGUACAUAAUCAACACUACUAUCUUCAUUCUCAUCACCACUGGUAUAAUCGGUACUAUUACUGUCACUAUCACUAUCAUCAAUAAUACAGCUACUACUAUUACCACUACUACUAAUACUACUACUACUACUAUUACUACUACUAUUACUACUACUACUACUACUACUAAUACUACUAUCACUACUACUACUACUACUACUACUAAUGAUACUACUUAUAUUACUACUACUACUAAAACUAUCACGUUCAUCACUAUACAUAUUACCACAAUUAGUAUAACUAUUGUAACUAUUACCAUGUAUAUUAACCUUAAUCAUAUUAUCGAACUGAGAGUAAUUACUAGGAUGUAUAUCAACACCAGAGUUGAUAAAAGUAUUUUGCAAAAUAUAAUAUACAUUAAAUGGAUAAACAAUGGAUGGUAAUGGAGUAUCUAUGUUAUAAUUAUUUUUUAUAUUUUUUGCAUAAUAACUAAAAAAAGAUAUUUGUAUUAAUGUCGUCACUUGUUCUAUAAUAAUUCUUUUUUUGUACCCUAUCAUGAAAUGUAU